RNAcentral lists this ribosomal RNA (911 nucleotides) under uncultured bacterium. RNAcentral's name for it is "bacterial SSU rRNA". It matches the Rfam family "Bacterial small subunit ribosomal RNA", at positions 8 to 916 of the family's 1533-position model. The record is from RNAcentral.
AGAGUUUGAUCAUGGCUCAGGAUGAACGCUAGCGGGAGGCUUAACACAUGCAAGUCGAGGGGCAGCACGAGAUAGCAAUAUUUUGGUGGCGACCGGCGCACGGGUGAGUAACGCGUAUGCAACCUACCCUGUACAGGGGGAUAACCCGGAGAAAUUCGGACUAAUACCCCAUAAAGAUAUGAAGAGGCAUCUUUUUAUAUUUAAAGUUCCGGCGGUACGGGAUGGGCAUGCGUAACAUUAGCUAGUUGGCAGGGUAACGGCCUACCAAGGCUACGAUGUUUAGGGGACCUGAGAGGGUGAUCCCCCACACUGGUACUGAGACACGGACCAGACUCCUACGGGAGGCAGCAGUGAGGAAUAUUGGUCAAUGGGCGCAAGCCUGAACCAGCCAUCCCGCGUGCAGGAAGAAGGCGCUAUGCGUUGUAAACUGCUUUUCCAGGGGGCGAACCUCCCGCACGAGUGCGGGACUGACGGUACUUUGGGAAUAAGCAUCGGCUAACUCCGUGCCAGCAGCCGCGGUAAUACGGAGGAUGCGAGCGUUAUCCGGAUUUAUUGGGUUUAAAGGGUGCGUAGGCGGACUAUUAAGUCAGUGGUGAAAUCCUGCAGCUUAACUGCAGAACUGCCAUUGAUACUGAUAGCCUUGAGUUUGGUUAAGGUAGGCGGAAUGUGUAAUGUAGCGGCGAAAUGCUUAGAUAUUACACAGAACACCAAUUGCGUAGGCAGCUUACUGAGCCGACACUGACGCUGAGGCACGAAAGCGUGGGGAUCGAACAGGAUUAGAUACCCUGGUAGUCCACGCCGUAAACGAUGAUUACUCGCUGUUGGCGAUACACUGUCAGCGGCUAAGCAAAGCAAUAAGUAAUCCACCUGGGGAGUACGGGCCGCAAGGUGAAACUCAAAGGAAUUGACGG